RNAcentral lists this ribosomal RNA (486 nucleotides) under uncultured Pelospora sp. RNAcentral describes it as "bacterial SSU rRNA". It matches the Rfam family "Bacterial small subunit ribosomal RNA", at positions 907 to 1392 of the family's 1533-position model. Lineage: Bacteria; Bacillati; Bacillota; Clostridia; Eubacteriales; Syntrophomonadaceae. The record is from RNAcentral.
GAAUUGACGGGGGCCCGCACAAGCGGUGGAGCAUGUGGUUUAAUUCGAUGCAACGCGAAGAACCUUACCAGGUCUUGACAUCCCACGAAUCCUCUUGAAAGGGAGGAGUGCCUUCGGGAGCGUGGAGACAGGUGGUGCAUGGUUGUCGUCAGCUCGUGUCGUGAGAUGUUGGGUUAAGUCCCGCAACGAGCGCAACCCUUGCUAUUAGUUGCUAACAGUUAAAGCUGAGCACUCUAAUGGGACUGCCGGUGACAAGCCGGAGGAAGGUGGGGAUGACGUCAAAUCAUCAUGCCCUUUAUGACCUGGGCUACACACGUGCUACAAUGGAUGGUACAGAGAGCGGCGAGGCAGUGAUGCGGAGCGAAUCUCAAAAAGCCAUUCUCAGUUCGGAUUGUAGUCUGCAACUCGACUACAUGAAGUCGGAAUCGCUAGUAAUCGCGAAUCAGCAUGUCGCGGUGAAUGCGUUCCCGGGCCUUGUACACACCG